This 386-nucleotide ribosomal RNA is filed under the name Chromulina chionophila. Its description in RNAcentral is "partial small subunit ribosomal RNA". It matches the Rfam family "Eukaryotic small subunit ribosomal RNA", at positions 30 to 432 of the family's 1831-position model. The record is from RNAcentral. Lineage: Eukaryota; Chrysophyceae; Chromulinales; Chromulinaceae.
GCUUGUCUCAAAGAUUAAGCCAUGCAUGUCUAAGUAUAAAUGUUAUACAGUGAAACUGCGAAUGGCUCAUUAAAACAGUUAUAGUUUAUUUGAUAAUCGAAUUUACAUGGAUAACCGUGGUAAUUCUAGAGCUAAUACAUGCUGGUUAGCCUGACUUCGAGGAAGGGCUGUAUUUAUUAGAUGGAAACCAAUGCGGGGCAACCCGGAAAAUGGUGAUUCAUAAUAACUUUCGGAUCGUUUACGAUGCAUCAUUCAAGUUUCUGCCCUAUCAGCUUUGGAUGGUAGGGUAUUGGCCUACCAUGGCUUUAACGGGUAACGGAGAAUUAGGGUUCGAUUCCGGAGAGGGAGCCUGAGAAAUGGCUACCACAUCCAAGGAAGGCAGCAGG